This 51-nucleotide non-coding RNA is filed under the name unclassified sequences. Its description in RNAcentral is "chromate-resist RNA". It matches the Rfam family "chrB-b RNA". The record is from RNAcentral.
CCGGGUCGAACGCAGACACCCGGUAGCCAAGACAUCCGUCUCAAGUGCUGC